CUCAGUGUGUAAACAUAGAUCCUCUGACAGUGCAGAACGUGCACUUCUUAGAACUUCGCUGUCUGGAGGAGUCAUGCUCACUAGUAAGAGGCCGCUGAGGCUGGACGGAGGGCACUUGGGCGGCAAUUCCACAACUCCCAGGUCCUGACGUUAAAGGAGCUUUGGCCAAUGCUCACGCGGGAGCUCUCUGGCUGAGAAGACAAGCUCCGUGACCUCAGGACCCAAAGCGGUCUGCGACUACGGCAGGAGGAGGCUGUGGACACAUUCGGCCGAAUAGAAGCGUCUAACGCCAGCUACCUAGGUUAUGAUGAACGGUGCCCUGAUGCCCCUCCUGUCUCCGGGAUUAUCCGCAAAGUGGGUUUAAGACCGGAUGCCUGCGCGGGGGACUUUAUCCGCGGAAUGGAGACAGCAGGUUCUGUCCAGCCUGCCUGCUACAGCUGCGGCUCUCAGCACACCCGACGGUCCCCAACCUGCUCUGGCUCCGCCUUGUGCUUUCACGCGUGCCCUCCUUCGGCGCCCGUCCCGCCACCCAGCCACACACCUGCAGUCCCCGGCGGGCGCCCGGCGCCGAGCCCCUCUCCAGCGGCGACUCCCGGCAAUUCACGACUCAAGGUCCGGAACCUGCGGAGCAUCUGAGGAACAACCCCCGGCUCGGAGCCCGCCUGCCCUCGGGAGGUACAGGCCCUGCCGGUGUUUCUUGGUCGCCGAAGGACGCCAGCGCAGAGCCGGCCGACACCCCAGAAACAACAUGUCAGGCCUUGUUACACCGAGAGUUGCAGUGACUCCUCAGGGAAUCUCAGAAGACACUGCACUUCCCAGUGCCUCCAUUUCCACUUUUACAAAGUGAGAAUAAAAGGGUUUGCUACAGCUGAGGCAGCCCCUGCAAUGAAAAACUAGCACUUUUGUUCUAGGGUUGAGAAAGGGCAAGUCUGAAAUCUCCACUUCCACUAUUGAACCGGACUCUGUCACAAUAUCUGUUUCAGGCAUCCAAAGCCCGCCACGGGUUUAUACGUUGUUGGUGAAAAGCCGCAGCCCUACCUGAGGCUUUGAGAGUUGCCAACGCCAAUGACUUUUCUUUUCCUGAGUUCCUAAAUACCAAGAAAAAGCAACUUCCUCAAAUGGACAGAAACAGAAAGUACCCUUGGGUGGGGGCACAGAACUAGUUCCUCCCUGUAGUUAGAGAUGGGAAGGGGCUCGGCACCCUUCUCCAUCCACCAUCCCCACCACACACACCACUGUGUUACAUCCAGGGAAUUGUUAACCCUAGGCGGCAGCUGUGGAAGGGCCCUCCUAACACCCCACAACUGGAUGAGUGGACAUGAUCUCUGGUUUGUCUUCCCAGGCCCUACUUUCUCCACUGCAAAAAAAAAAAAAAAAAAAAAAAAAAAAAGAUGGCAUUUGGAGAAAGAGAAGGAGAUGGAAGGUGGAAGCAUGCCAGAGGUGGCCAGGGUAGGAAGGAAAGGGUAGAACUGUUCUAGAAUUGGCAAUCGAGUAGCAAGAAUGACUCAAUGUCUGGCAGCUUGAGAUGUUGGAUUUUGAAGGAUAAAGAAACUGCUGGAGAAAUUUGGGAAGCUUGACUUCUUCCUAUGGUUGGUGUUCCAAAAACUGAAGAUGGAAGAAAGCGGAAACAGAGUUGCUCACUCUGGGAAGCUGAGCAUCUGGCAAAGCCAACUCUGUCCCAUCCUGCAUCCGGACAUGGGCACUCUUCUCCACCAGCAGGUAGCACCCAGAUGUGAACUUGCAUGUUAUUCCUCUUCCUACAUUGAGCUCUUCCUGUGUCUCCCUGUCCUCACAGCCCAGGCAAAUCUCAAGAGCACCCGGCAUCCAUCUAUUGGCCAGAACCUAGAAUGACUGCCACCGAGAAACUUCCCAAAGUCCUUCCCAAAGAACUCAAGGUUGUCUCUGUCACUCAUCAGGCAUCUAGUUGCGUACCACUUUAUGUAGUUUUUUGUUUUGUUUUGUUUUCCAGUGCUGGAGAUUGAACCCAGGGCUUUCACACUGAGCCACAUCCUAGCCCUUUUUUCACUUUUUAUUUUGAGUCUUUUGCUAAGUCUCUAAGUUACCCAGGCUGGGCUUGAACUUGCAAUCUUUCUGCCUCAGCCUCUCAGGAGGCUGGGGUUACAAGCAAGUAUACCACGCCUUGCUCUUCUAUUGCUUCAUUUAAAAUGUCUAUUUGCAAUAGGUCUCCUCCUUUUCAUGGCCUAAUGUUUUCAGAGAGGAGUCUGCUUUGUCUCUACUUCCUCAUCUUACAUUUAUUCCUCAAUGCUCUGAAAGAAGGUCACCAAGGAAACCCCAAAUGCCAAAUCCAUUGUUCUUGUUUUCUUACCUCACUACAGUACUUGAUAUUAUCUUUCCUUCAAAAUUCCCCCUUUGGCUUCUGAAUUUCCUCUACCUCUAACCACUAUUUCUGUUUGCUUUUUCUGGUCUCAUUUCCUUCAUCAUCUCUUGAAGACCGGAAUGAUGUAGGUUUUAUGUGAGGCUGGUUCUCUUUUUCACAGGCAAUUUCAUCCAUUCCCUUCACACUGAUCCCUCUCAAACCUACAGCCCAGACUUCCCUCUUGAGGAAGGAAUCUCAAGCCAAAGACAUCUUAUGACCUGAUUACUUCUUGGUAGGCCCCACCUCUUAAAGGUCCCACCAUCUCUUCACAGUCUCACAUUGGAGAAAAAGCUUGCAAAAUGUGAACCCUUGAGGGACAGACCACACCCAAACUAUAACAGAUGUUUACUUAGAAGUUGCAUAUUCUGCACUUUGUCAAUUAUAUCUCAGUACACAUAAUAUGUGAGAAAAGGAAGUCUGCAUUGAGCCUUCAUACCUCCUACCCUUCCUCACUCCAAUGCCCUAAGCUUAGGUUGCCUCUCCUUGAAUAUUUACUUGACUGAUGAUUCCUUACUGUAUAUUCAUGAUGGUCAGCAGAAUCACCUCAACUGCUAUUCUUGGGAAAAUAUAGAUUCCUUCUGGCGAGGAUGGGCAAACAGAAAAACUAAAGAUGCAAAAGCAAAAAGAU
Molecule: long non-coding RNA, 3005 nt
Filed under: Heterocephalus glaber (naked mole-rat)
Lineage: Eukaryota; Metazoa; Chordata; Mammalia; Rodentia; Bathyergidae
Description: lncRNA (ENSHGLG00100036692.1)
Source: RNAcentral